RNAcentral lists this long non-coding RNA (1154 nucleotides) under Marmota monax (woodchuck). Lineage: Eukaryota; Metazoa; Chordata; Mammalia; Rodentia; Sciuridae. The record is from RNAcentral.
UGUGGCUGGGGCAGCAAGGAUUGAAUGCACAAGGGAGGCCUAUCCUCUAAGAUGGAACCUGGAAUCUCUUCCAGACCCAGUGCAUUCCCUGGGCUCAUCCUUUUAACCACCUUCUACCAUGUUCCUGACUUCCUAUAUGCUUUGUCCUUAUUUCAGACUCUGGGCAUCAUCAGUAGUGUCUGACAGUUCCAUAUGAACAGGAUUCUUUUAUGUUAGCUUGCAGGUGAAAUCAUUAGGGCCCUGCUGUGUGCUCCAGCCUUGAGACCCUUGCCUUCCAGGAGCCAAACAAGAAGCAAAGCCACCACAGGUCCCUAAAGCAUGAGGAAGUCUAGACCUCCCUCCCUCCCCACAUUUGAACAACUGACUAUCUACUAAAGAGCAUCUGGGCCCUAUUCCUUCAAAGCUGGUUCAGGUCUGAAGAAGUGAUCAUAGAUGUCUCCUACUAGGGUAGACAGAAAGGCAGGAUAACUUCCUGGCAGUGAUGGAAUACCAGCUGUCAAAUACCACCAGGCCCAGCACUAGGCAAAGUGCACCUAACAUUGCAUGGUAAACCUUGUGACACUGCUUCUGGAGAACCUCAGUGGCACAGCACCUGCCACAGCAUGGUUCUCACCUCAGCAGGACCAUCCUCAGAUGAUCAACUUGGGGGAAAUGGUUGCCUCCUACACAUGGUCAUGUGGUCCCAAGGUGGAACUCCUUGGCAGUUCUAGAAGCACCCUAGUGAGCAGUGGGGCACUUCUGGACAAUGUUAGUGGAACUCAGCUAACAUCUUUCACAGAUCCCCACCUGACCAGGUAGCUCCUCUGGGCCAAGCCAGGCUGGACUUUGCACUGUACCAUCAGGACUGACCUCUUUGAGUUUAUGAAAGGAAGGAAAUUGGUGACUCCCUAAGACGCCCUCUCAUUCAUAGCCUAGCACAAUCUGCUUGCUUUAUUUUUACUGCCCCCCCCCCCCAAUUAAGUAUGCUGUGCCAUUUUGCUAACCUAACUUCCCUCAGGGGAAUAUGGGACUGAUGUCCACACCAAGACUAUGCAAAGUCUUUCACAUGGCAGCCUCUACUUGUUUCUUAGUGGUGUGGGCCAGGCCCCAAUUGUACUGAAGCCUUCUUUUUGUCUUCAGAAUGCUCCUAGGAUGUGAGUAGAUGUGUAUAAAUG